Molecule: ribosomal RNA, 253 nt
Filed under: uncultured bacterium
Lineage: Bacteria
Description: partial 16S ribosomal RNA
Rfam family: Bacterial small subunit ribosomal RNA
Source: RNAcentral
UACGUAGGGUCCGAGCGUUGUCCGGAAUUAUUGGGCGUAAAGAGCUCGUAGGCGGUUUGUCGCGUCUGCUGUGAAAUCCCGAGGCUCAACCUCGGGCCUGCAGUGGGUACGGGCAGACUUGAGUGCGGUAGGGGAGAAUGGAAUUCCUGGUGUAGCGGUGGAAUGCGCAGAUAUCAGGAGGAACACCGGUGGCGAAGGCGGUUCUCUGGGCAUUACCUGACGCUGAGGAGCGAAAGUGUGGGGAGCGAACAGG